This 497-nucleotide ribosomal RNA is filed under the name Cyclospora cayetanensis. Its description in RNAcentral is "SSU rRNA". It matches the Rfam family "Eukaryotic small subunit ribosomal RNA", at positions 581 to 1083 of the family's 1831-position model. The record is from RNAcentral. Lineage: Eukaryota; Apicomplexa; Conoidasida; Eucoccidiorida; Eimeriidae.
AAUUCCAGCUCCAAUAGUGUAUAUUAGAGUUGUUGCAGUUAAAAAGCUCGUAGUUGGAUUUCUGUCGUGGUCAUCCGGCCUUGCCCGUAGGGUGUGCGCCUGGGUUGCCUGCGGCUUUCUUCCGGUAGCCUUCCGCGCUUCGCUGCGUGCGUUGGUGUUCCGGAACUUUUACUUUGAGAAAAAUAGAGUGUUUCAAGCAGGCUUGUCGCCCUGAAUACUGCAGCAUGGAAUAAUAAGAUAGGACCUUGGUUCUAUUUUGUUGGUUUCUAGGACCGAGGUAAUGAUUAAUAGGGACAGUUGGGGGCAUUCGUAUUUAACUGUCAGAGGUGAAAUUCUUAGAUUUGUUAAAGACGAACUACUGCGAAAGCAUUUGCCAAGGAUGUUUUCAUUAAUCAAGAACGACAGUAGGGGGUUUGAAGACGAUUAGAUACCGUCGUAAUCUCUACCAUAAACUAUGCCGACUAGAGAUAGGGAAACGCCUACCUUGGCUUCUCCUG